CCUACGGGUGGCAGCAGUGGGGAAUAUUGGACAAUGGGGGCAACCCUGAUCCAGCCAUGCCGCGUGUGUGAAGAAGGCCCUCGGGUUGUAAAGCACUUUCAGUGAGGAAGAACGCCUGGUGGUUAAUACCCAUCAGGAAAGACAUCACUCACAGAAGAAGCACCGGCUAACUCCGUGCCAGCAGCCGCGGUAAUACGGAGGGUGCGAGCGUUAAUCGGAAUUACUGGGCGUAAAGCGCGCGUAGGUGGCUUGAUAAGCCGGUUGUGAAAGCCCCGGGCUCAACCUGGGAACGGCAUCCGGAACUGUCAAGCUAGAGUGCAGGAGAGGAAGGUAGAAUUCCCGGUGUAGCGGUGAAAUGCGUAGAGAUCGGGAGGAAUACCAGUGGCGAAGGCGGCCGUCUGGACUGACACUGACACUGAGGUGCGAAAGCGUGGGUAGCAAACAGGAUUAGAUACCCGAGUAGUC
RNAcentral lists this ribosomal RNA (465 nucleotides) under Vreelandella stevensii. RNAcentral's name for it is "partial 16S ribosomal RNA". It matches the Rfam family "Bacterial small subunit ribosomal RNA", at positions 338 to 795 of the family's 1533-position model. Lineage: Bacteria; Pseudomonadati; Pseudomonadota; Gammaproteobacteria; Oceanospirillales; Halomonadaceae. The record is from RNAcentral.